AGGUCACUGCUAUUGGGAUUCGGCUAAGCCAUGCAAGCGGAGGGCGCGGUCGAAAGAUCGUGGCCCCGCACACUGCUCAGUAACACGUAGUCAACCUACCCUUGGGACGGGGACAACCUCGGGAAACUGAGGCUAAUCCCCGAUAGGUGAGGGACGCUGGAAUGCCUCCUCGCCCAAAGCUCCGGCGCCCAAGGAUGGGACUGCGGUCUAUCAGGCUGUUGGUGGUGUAACGGACCACCAAACCUACGACGGGUACGGGCGAUGGGAGUCGGAGCCCGGAGAUGGGGACUGAGACAAGGCCCCAGGCCCUACGGGGCGCAGCAGGCGCGAAAACUCCGCAAUGCGCGCAAGCGUGACGGGGGAAUCCCAAGUGCCGUUGGUCUUAUGAUCGACGGUUUUUAGGAAGUCUAAGAAGCUUCCAGAAUAAGGGCUGGGCAAGACUGGUGCCAGCCGCCGCGGUAACACCAGCAGCCCAAGUGGUGACCACGAUUAUUGGGCCUAAAGCGCUCGUAGCCGGAUCAGCAAGUCCCUUGUGAAAUCGGGCCGCCUAACGGUUCGGCGUGCAAGGGAUACUGUUGGUCUUGAGGCCGGGAGAGGUCGGAGGUACUCCUGGGGUAGCGGUGAAAUGCUCUAAUCCUAGGGGGACCACCAGUGGCGAAGGCGUCCGACCAGAACGGACCUGACGGUGAGGGGCGAAGGCUAGGGGAGCGAACGGGAUUAGAUACCCCGGUAGUCCUAGCUGUAAAGCAUGCGGGCCAGGUGUCUAGCGCUCCUUGAGGGCGCUAGGUGCCGGAGGGAAGCCGUUAAGCCCGCCGCCUGGGAAGUACGGCCGCAAGGCUGAAACUUAAAGAAAUUGGCGGGGGAGCACAGCAACGGGUGG
RNAcentral lists this ribosomal RNA (880 nucleotides) under uncultured archaeon. RNAcentral describes it as "bacterial SSU rRNA". It matches the Rfam family "Archaeal small subunit ribosomal RNA", at positions 21 to 891 of the family's 1478-position model. The record is from RNAcentral.